RNAcentral lists this ribosomal RNA (875 nucleotides) under Cortinarius aff. persplendidus 1 FS-2012. RNAcentral's name for it is "LSU rRNA". It matches the Rfam family "Eukaryotic large subunit ribosomal RNA", at positions 75 to 936 of the family's 3401-position model. The record is from RNAcentral. Lineage: Eukaryota; Fungi; Basidiomycota; Agaricomycetes; Agaricales; Cortinariaceae.
UUCCCCUAGUAACUGCGAGUGAAGCGGGAAAAGCUCAAAUUUAAAAUCUGGCAGUCUUUGGCUGUCCGAGUUGUAAUCUAGAGAAGUGUUAUCCGCGCUGGACCGUGUACAAGUCUCCUGGAAUGGAGCGUCRUAGAGGGUGAGAAUCCCGUCUUUGACACGGACUACCAGGGCUUUGUGAUACGCUCUCGAAGAGUCGAGUUGUUUGGGAAUGCAGCUCAAAAUGGGUGGUAAAUUCCAUCUAAAGCUAAAUAUUGGCGAGAGACCGAUAGCGAACAAGUACCGUGAGGGAAAGAUGAAAAGAACUUUGGAAAGAGAGUUAAACAGUACGUGAAAUUGCUGAAAGGGAAACGCUUGAAGUCAGUCGCGUUGUCCAGGGAUCAACCUUGCUUUUGCUUGGUGCAUUUCCUGGUUGACGGGUCAGCAUCAGUUUUGACUAUUGGAAAAAGGUUAAGGGAAUGUGGCAUCUUUGGAUGUGUUAUAGCCCUUGGUUGCAUACAAUAGUUGGGAUUGAGGAACUCAGCACGCCGAAAGGCCGGGUUUUUAACCACGUACGUGCUUAGGAUGCUGGCAUAAUGGCUUUAAUCGACCCGUCUUGAAACACGGACCAAGGAGUCUAACAUGCCUGCGAGUGUUUGGGUGGAAAACCCGAGCGCGCAAUGAAAGUGAAAGUUGAGAUCCCUGUCGUGGGGAGCAUUGACGCCCGGACCAGACCUUUUGUGACGGUUCCGCGGUAGAGCAUGUAUGUUGGGACCCGAAAGAUGGUGAACUAUGCCUGAAUAGGGUGAAGCCAGAGGAAACUCUGGUGGAGGCUCGUAGCGAUUCUGACGUGCAAAUCGAUCGUCAAAUUUGGGUAUAGGGGCGAAAGACUAAUC